Molecule: ribosomal RNA, 443 nt
Filed under: uncultured bacterium
Lineage: Bacteria
Description: partial 16S ribosomal RNA
Rfam family: Bacterial small subunit ribosomal RNA
Source: RNAcentral
ACUACGGGUGGCAGCAGUGGGGAAUAUUGGGCAAUGGGCGCAAGCCUGACCCAGCAACGCCGCGUGAAGGAAGAAGGCUUUCGGGUUGUAAACUUCUUUUAUCAGGGACGAAGCAAGUGACGGUACCUGCUGAAUAAGCCACGGCUAACUACGUGCCAGCAGCCGCGGUAAUACGUAGGUGGCAAGCGUUAUCCGGAUUUACUGGGUGUAAAGGGCGUGUAGGCGGGAGUGCAAGUCCGAUGUGAAAACUAUGGGCUCAACCCAUAGCCUGCAUUUGAAACUGUACUUCUUGAGUGCUGGAGAGGCAAUCGGAAUUCCGGGUGUAGCGGUGAAAUGCGUAGAUAUACGGAGGAACACCAGUGGCGAAGGCGGAUUGCUGGACAGUAACUGACGCUGAGGCGCGAAAGCGUGGGGAGCAAACAGGAUUAGAUACCCUAGUAGUC